This 1558-nucleotide ribosomal RNA is filed under the name Actinidia chinensis (golden kiwifruit). RNAcentral describes it as "SSU rRNA". It matches the Rfam family "Eukaryotic small subunit ribosomal RNA". The record is from RNAcentral. Lineage: Eukaryota; Viridiplantae; Streptophyta; Magnoliopsida; Ericales; Actinidiaceae.
CUUGGUUAAUCCUGCCAGUAGUCAUAUGCUUGUCUCAAAGAUUAAGCCAUGCAUGUGUAAGUAUGAACUAAUUCAGACUGUGAAACUAUGAAUGGCUCAAUAAAUCAGUUAUAGUUUGUUUGAUGGUAUUUGCUACUCGGAUAACCGUAGUAAUUCUAGAGCUAGUACGUGCAACAAACCCUGACUUCUUGAAGGGAUGCAUUUAUUAGAUAAAAGGUCAAUGCUGGUUUUUCCCGUUGCUCUAAUGAUUCAUGAUAACUUGACGGAUCGCACAGCCUUCGUGCCGGCGACGCAUCAUUCAAAUUUUUUCCCUAUCAACUUUCGAUGGUAGGAUAGUAGCCUACUAUGGUGUUAACAGGUGAUGGAGAAUUAGGGUUCGAUUCCGGAGAGGGAGCCUAAGAAACGGCUACCACAUCCAAAGAAGGCAGCAGGCGUAACAAUUACCCAAUCUUUACACGGGGAGUUUAGUAAUUAGAAUGAGUACAAUCUAAAUCCCUUAACGAGGCUCCAUUGGAGGGCAAGUAUAGUGCCAGCAGUCGCGGUAAUUCCAGCUCCAAUAGCGUAUAUUUAAGUUGUUGAAGUUAAAAAGCUCAUAGUUGGAUUUUGGAUUGGGCCAUCCGGUCCGCCUUUAAGUGUGCACCAGUCAUCUUGUCCCUUCUGUUGGUGAUGCGCUCCUAGCCUUAACUGGCCAGGUCGUGCCUCCGGUGUUAUUAGUUUAAAGAAAUUAGAAUGCUCAAAGCAAGCCUACGCUCUGGAUACAUUAACAUGGGAUAACAUCAUAAGAUUUAGAUCCUAUUCUAUUGGCCUUCAGGAUUGGAGUAAUGAUUAACAGGGAAAGUCGAGGGCAUUCAUAUUUCAUAGUCAGAGGUGAAAUUCUUGGAUUUAUGAAAGACGAACAACUAUAAAAGCAUUUGCCAAGGAUCUUUUCAUUAAUCAAGAACGAAAGUUGGGGGCUCAAAGACGAUCAGAUACCGUCCUAGUCUCAACCAUAAACAAUGCUGACCAGGGAUUAGCGGAUGUUACUUUUAGGACUUUGCUAGCACCUUAUGAGAAAUCAAAGUUUUUGUCUGGUUAAUUCCGUUAACGAACGAGACCUCAACCUACUAACUAGCUAUGUGGAGAUGACCCUCCACAGCUAGCUUCUUAGAGGGACUAUGGCCCUUCAAGCCAUGGAAGUUUGAGGCAAUAACAGGUCUAUGAUGCCCUUAAAUGUUCUGGGCCGCACGCACGCCACACUAAUGUAUUCAAUGAGUUUAUAGCCUUGGCCAACAAGCUCGAGUAAUCUUUGAAAUUUCAUCAUGAUGGGGAAGAUCAUUGUAAUUGUUGGUCUUCAAUGAGGAAUUCCUAGUAAGCGUGAGUCAUCAGCUCGUGUUGACUACGUCCCUGCCCUUUGUACACAUCACCCGUUGCUCUUACUGAUUGAAUGGUCUGGUGAAGUGUUCUGAUCGCGGCAGCGUGGGCGGUUCGCUGCCGGCGACAUCGCGAGAAGUCCACUAAACCUUAUCAUUUAGAGGAAGGAGAAGUCGUAACAAGGUUUCCAUAGGUGAACCUAUAGAAG